GUAGAUUGGCUUCGCAUUAAAAGUAAUACAGGAUCCAUUCAAAAUAAGUCCUCUGCCAUAAACAUCCUAUCUAGUCUAGUAAUAAUAAAUCAGCAAACCAGCGCCACAAAAUAAAGUAUUACAAAUCAAACACAGAGUACAACCAUGUCAAAGUAAAAAAGCAGAGUAAGGAGUAACAACCAGGACAUAGAGCACAGAGGCGAUGAUAAUUGUACGGUACCGACCCAAGAAGGAAUCUGCGAUAAACGCACCCAGUAGCGGCAAAAGGAACGCCGUUCCAGACCAGGCGUUCACAUUGGCCGCCGCCGUCGCCGUUGACUGGCCAAUUGGGCCCGUCAAGUAGUUUAUCAAAUUCGAACUUAUCCCGUAAUAUGCAAAUCUCUCCGCCACUUCCACACCUAACAAUAGUUAUUUGUUGUUUUAAAAAUGUUAAAGAAUUAUUUGCUGCUUUAAAAGACAGAGAUGGUUAAGUUGCAGGAAAUUUUGAUAAAGUGAGUUUACCAA
This 504-nucleotide long non-coding RNA is filed under the name Nicotiana tabacum (common tobacco). Its description in RNAcentral is "long non-coding RNA (NTAB_LNC001848)". The record is from RNAcentral. Lineage: Eukaryota; Viridiplantae; Streptophyta; Magnoliopsida; Solanales; Solanaceae.